GCACAGCAACGGGUGGAGCGUGCGGUUUAAUUGGAUUCAACGCCGGAAAACUCACUGGAGGCGACGGUUACAUGAAGGCCAGGCUGAUGACCUUGCCUGAUUUUCCGAGAGGUGGUGCAUGGCCGCUGUCAGUUCGUACCGUAAGGCGUUCUGUUAAGUCAGACAACGAACGAGACCCUCAUCUUUAGUUGCUACUGGUAAGUCCGCUUAUCAGGCACACUAAAGAAACCGCUGGCGAUAAGUCAGAGGAAGGUGAGGGCAACGGUAGGUCAGUAUGCCCUGAAUCCUCCGGGCUACACGCGCGCUACAAAGGCUAGGACAAUGGGCUUCAACACCGAAAGGUGAAGGUAAUCCCGAAACCUAGUCAUAGUUCGGAUUGAGGGUUGAAACCCACCCUCAUGAAGCUGGAAUCCGUAGUAAUCGCGGGUCAACAUCCCGCGGUGAAUAUGCCCCUGCUCCUUGCACACUCCGCCCGUCAAACCAUGCGAAUUGGGUCUGAGUGAGGAUGUAGUUAUUGCCACAUUCAAACUUAGGCUUAGUAAGCGGGGUU
This 550-nucleotide ribosomal RNA is filed under the name uncultured archaeon. RNAcentral's name for it is "bacterial SSU rRNA". It matches the Rfam family "Archaeal small subunit ribosomal RNA", at positions 876 to 1429 of the family's 1478-position model. The record is from RNAcentral.